This 35914-nucleotide long non-coding RNA is filed under the name Hordeum vulgare. Its description in RNAcentral is "long non-coding RNA (HVUL_LNC010043)". Lineage: Eukaryota; Viridiplantae; Streptophyta; Magnoliopsida; Poales; Poaceae. The record is from RNAcentral.
CUUUCUUCAUAUUAUUUUCCUUCUCUUUCUUCUUAUUUUUCUCCUUAUUCUUCUUCUUCUUCUAGUCUCCUUCUUCUUCUUCUUCUUCUUCUUCUUCUUCUAGUCUUCUUCUUCUUCUUNNNNNNNNNNNNNNNNNNNNNNNNNNNNNNNNNNNNNNNNNNNNNNNNNNNNNNNNNNNNNNNNNNNNNNNNNNNNNNNNNNNNNNNNNNNNNNNNNNNNNNNNNNNNNNNNNNNNNNNNNNNNNNNNNNCUUCUUCUUCUCCAACUUCAUCUUCAUAUUCUGCAUCACCAUCAUCAUCAUCAUCUUCUUCUUCUUCUGAGCUAAUUAUCCUCCAAAAUGACAUAAUUAGCUUAUUUAGUUCAUUUAUGAAAUAAUUAUCUUAGUUAGGUCAUAAAUAGCAUAAUAACCUUGGUUACCUCAUAAAUGUUAUAUACUUAGCUUGUUUUCCACUAAAAUAACAUAAUUAGCUUAGUUAGGUCAAAAAUGUCAUAAUAACUUUGGUUAGCUCAUAAAUUUCAUAUACUUAGCUUAUCUUCCUCCAAAAUGACAUAAUUAGCUUAGUUAGGUAAGAAGUGGCAUAAUAACCUUGGUUAUCUCAUAAACGUUAUAUACUUAGCUUGCUUUCCUCUAAAAUGACAUAAUUAGCUCAGUUAGUUCAAAAAUGACAUAAUGACGUUGGUUAGCUCAUAAAAGUCAUCUACUUAGCUUAUCUUCGUCCAAAAUGGCAUAUUUAGCUUAGUUAGGUCAGAAAUAGCAUACGAACCUUGGUUAGCUCAUAAAUGCCAUAUCCUUAGCUUAUUUGCUUUUACAAUGACAUAAUUAGCUUAGAUAGGUCAAAAAUGGNNNNNNNNNNAUUAUAUACUUAGCUUGCUUUAUCUAAAAUGACAUAAUUAGCUUAGUUAGUUAAAAAAUGACAUAAUAACCUUGGUUAGCUCAUAAAAGUCAUAUACUUAGCUUAUCUUCCUCCAAAAUGGCAUAUUUAGCUUAGUUAGGUCAGAAAUAGCAUACUAACCUUGGUUAGCUCAUAAAUUCCAUAUCCUUAGAUUAUUUGCUUUUACAAUGACAUAAUUAGCUUAGAUAGGUCAAAAAUGGCAUAAUAACCUUGGUUAGCUCAUAAAUGUCAUAUACUUAGCUUAUUUUCCACCAAAAUGACAUAAUAAGCUCAAAAAUUGCAUAAAAUAAAAAGAAAGAAUAGAAGAGGAAAGAGAAGUAAAAGAAAUAAUAAAAGAAAAAGAAUGAGCUUCUUAUUUCUUUCUUCUUAUUAUUUUCCUUCUCUUUCUUCUUCUUUGUCUUCUUCUAGUCUUCUUAUUCUUUUCUUCUUCUUCUAGUCUUCUUCUUCUUCUUCUUCUUCUUCUUCUUCUUUUCAUCAUCAUCAUCAUAAUCAUCAUCAUCUUCUUCUUCUUCUUAUUUAAUUAUCCUCCAAAAUGACAUAAUUAGCUUAUUUAGUUCAUUUAUGACAUAAUUAUCUUAGUUAGGUCGGAAAUGACAUAAUAACCUUAGUUAGCUUAUAAAUGUUAUAUACUUAGCUUGUUUUCCUCUAAAAUAACAUAAUUAGCUUAGUUAGGUGAAANNNNNNNNNNCGUCUUCUUCUAGUCAUCUUCUUCUUCUUCUAGUCUUCUUCUUCUUCUUCUUCUUUUCAUCAUCAUCAUCAUCAUCAUCAUCUUCUUCUUCUUAUUAUUAUUAUUUAGUUACCCUCCAAAAUGACAUAAUUAGGUUAUUUAGUUCAUUUAUGACAUAAUUAGCUUAGUUAGGUCGGAAAUGGCAUAAUAACCUAUGUUAGCUUAUAAAUGUUAUAUAAUUAGCUUGUUUUCCUCUAAAAUAACAUAAUUAGCUUAGUUAGGUGAAAAAUGGAAUAAUAACCUUGGUUAUCUCAUAAAUGUCAUAUACUUAGCUUAUCUUCCACCAAAAUGACAUAUUCAACUUAGUUAGGUGAGAAAUGGCAUAAUAACCUUGGUUAGCUCAUAAAUGUCAUAUACUUAGCUUGAUUUCCUAUAAAAUGACAUUAUUAGCUUAGUUAGGUAAAAAAUGGCAUAAUAACCUUGGUUAGCUCAUAAAUGUAAUAUACUUAGCUUGUUUUCCUCCAAAAUGACACAAUAAGCUCAAAAAUGGCAUAAAAAGGAAAAUAAAGAAUAGAAGAGGAAAGAGAAGAAAAAGAAAGAAUAAAAGAAGAAGAAUGAGCUUAUUAUUUCUUUCUUCAUAUUAUUUUCCUUCUCUUUCUUCUUAUUUUUCUCCUUAUUCUUCUUCUUCUUCUUCUAGUCUUCUUCUUCUUCUUCUUCUUCUUCUUCUAGUCUUCUUCUUCUUCUUCUUCUUCUUCUUCUAGUACUACUACUACUACCACUACUACUACUACUACUACUUCUUCUUCUUCUUCUUCUUCUUCUUCUUCUUUUCUUCUUCUUCUUUUUAUUCUUGGUCAUCUUCAUCAGCAUCAUCAUCAUCAUCAUCAUCAUCAUCAUCUUCUUCUUCUUCUUCUUCUUCUUCUUCAUCUUCUUAGCAAAUUGUCCUCCAAAAUCACAUAAUUAACUUAUUUAGUUCAUUCAUGACAUAAUUAGCUUAGUUAGGUUAGAAAUGGCAUCAUAACCUUGGUUAGCUCGUAAAUGUUAUAUACUUGGCUUGUUUUCACAUAAAAUGACAUAAUUAUCUUAAUUUGGUUAAAAAUGGCGUAAUAACCUUGGUCAGCUCAUAAAUGUUAUAUAAUUAGGUUAUCUUCAUAUAAAAUGAUAUAAUUAGCUUAGUUAGGUCAAAAUGACAUAAUAACCUUGGUUAGCUCAUAAAUGUCAUAUUCUUAGCUUAGUUUCCUCUAAAAUGACAUAAUAAGCUUAGUUAUGUAAAAAAUGGAUAAUAACCUUGGUUACCUCGUAAAUGUCAUAUUUAGCUUAUUUUCCUCCAAAAUGAUAUAAUAAGAUAAAAAAUGGCAUAAAAAGGAAAAGAACGAAUAGAAGAGGAAAGAGAAGAAAAUGGAAGAAAAAAAGAAGAAGAAUGAGCUUAUUCUUUCUUUCUUCUUAUUAUUUUCGUUCUCUUUCUUCUUCUUCUAGUCUUCUCCUUCUCCUUCUCCUUCUCCUUCUUCUUCUGGUCUUCUUCUUCUUCUUGUUCUUAGCUAAUUAUCCUCCAAAAUGACAUAAUUAGCUUAUUUAGUUCAAUUAUGACAUAAUUAGCUUAGUUAGGUCAGAAAUGGCAUAAUAACCUUGGUUAGCUCGUAAAUGUUAUAUACUUACCUUGUUUUCCGUAAAAAUGGCAUAAAAAAAGAGAAGAUGAAAGGAAACAAAAAUAAAGAAUAAAAUAANNNNNNNNNNNNNNNNNNNNNNNNNNNNNNNNNNNNNNNNNNNNNNNNNNNNNNNNNNNNNNNNNNNNNNNNNNNNNNNNNNNNNNNNNNNNNNNNNNNNCAUACCUAGCUGACCAAGGCAAGCAGCCCUUUGACCAUGACUGAGCAUAUGUUACUUUGCAUGAUUAGAAUAGAAAGUAUUUUCGUUGCAUAUGAUCAUAAGUGCCGGUAAUCAUUUGAUAUGAUUUUAGCGAUGGCUCCCCCGGAGCACAUGCAUUGAGCUUGAUCCUACCCCUUGAGGAUCUUGCUAACACCAUGUUGACAAGUAAAGAUAGAAGUAGUAUUAUCAUGAGCAUGUUGAUGACAUAAAGCAAGAGUUUAUGAAAACCCCGUCGGGUGCCACUAAUGCCCGAGGGUGAUGAUGAGUUAGGUGGUCACUUUUGGUGAAGUGAUGCACCUGGUAUUUGUGUGAGUAUGGUUUCGGAAGGGGAUUAGAUUUAUGAUGUGUCGAACGUCCCAACCUUACCAGUACGUCCACGUUACCCCUUAUGGGACGGGGCUAUGUUGAUUACUUUGGUCGGUCUAGCAAAGAGCCACAUUACUAGUGGCGGGAGUGAUGUGUGGUCACUCUUGUGAUAGGGUCGUGCCAGGUAGGACGACUAUGCCAUUUUUAUGAGUUCCAGUCACACCGUNNNNNNNNNNCCCCGCACGGUUGGUACUGUCCAGAGUUGGUGCUCGUAAUAUGAACAACAUGUGGGCUGAAAACAAACGAGUGGACUGAUACGUCUCCAGCGUAUCUAUAAUUUUUUAUGGUUUCAUGCUAUUAUCUUGUCAAACUUUGGAUGUUUUGCAUGCCUNNNNNNNNNNNNNNNNNNNNNNNNNNNNNNNNNNNNNNNNNNNNNNNNNNNNNNNNNNNNNNNNNNNNNNNNNNNNNNNNNNNNNNNNNNNNNNNNNNNNNNNNNNNNNNNNNNNNNNNNNNNNNNNNNNNNNNNNNNNNNNNNNNNNNNNGACCCCUUUCAGAGGAGAUUUUGAAAUGGAGUCCAAACGGAAUAAAAUCCCCGAAAUGAAUUUUUCUGUAACGGAAGAAGAUCAGGAGACUUGAGAGCCAAGGCAGGGGGGCCCAGGGGCCCCACAAGCCCUCACCCCGCAGCCAGGGGGAGGCCGCAGCCCACAGGCUUGUGAGCCCCCUGGACACCCUUUGCCCUAGGGGUUGCGCCUAUAUAUUCCCUAAAAAUCCCAAAAAAAUCAGGAGAUCAUCGAAGUACUUUUCCGCCACCGCAAGCUUCUGUCUCCGCAAGAUCCCAUCUGGGGCACGUUCUGGUGCACUGCCGGAGGGGGGAUUUGGAUAUGGAGGGCUUCUUCAUCAAGACCAUGAUCUCUCCGUUGAUGCAUGAGUAGUUCACCAUAGACCUACGGGUCCAUAGCUAGUAACUAGAUGGNNNNNNNNNNNNNNNNNNNNNNNNNNNNNNNNNNNNNNNNNNNNNNNNNNNNNNNNNNNNNNNNNNNNNNNNNNNNNNNNNNNNNNNNNNNNNNNNNNNNUAAACUGAGGGAAAUACUUACUGCUCUUGUGUUGCAUCACCCUUUCCUCUUCAAUGGGAAAACCAACGCAAGGCCAGUCUCCAUCAACGUGUCAAUUUCUGGCGGUGUUUUUUGUUGUCGUAGAACGGACCUCUUUGUCUAGUAUCGUCAGGGGAAAGGCAUUGAUCGGGUACUUACAUUGGGUAUGUUAUAUACCGCGAGUCAUGGAUGACACGGAAGUUUCCCGGAUCUCGUGGGUCCAGCGUACUACCUGUGUAGAGUGUAAAACUAUUCGAAUAGCCAUGUCCACGGUCAAGGACAGUUGGGUAAUCCUUCUUAAACUACGUCCAGCUAUUUCCGCAUAAACCAAGUGUGUGUGUGUGAGGUGAUUAAAAGGUGUUGUUAUGAAAGUAAUUAUAUGACCAAGUUUGGAGACUUUUCAUAUAGGGUGAGCCUGGAUGGCUCAGCCCUCGACAGAUAUACCGAUAUAUGUAACAUGUUCUUCAAAAGUAAUUCUUUAACUUGAUGCAUAUUCAUGAUUAUUCNNNNNNNNNNCGUGAUUAAAAGGUGUUGUUAUGAAAGUAAUAAUAUGACCAAGUUUGGAGACUUGUCAUAUAGGGUGAGCCUGGAUGGCUGAGCCCUCGACAGAUAUAUUGAUAUCUGUAACCUGUUCUUCAAAAGUAAUUCUUUAACUUGAUGCAUAUUCAUGAUUAUUCCACGAAGAUGAGUUGCACUGAAGAUGCAUGAUAUUGUUAUCCUUCACUUUCAUUGUUCAUAUCAUGGGUUGUUUGCGAGUACAUUCAAAAGUACUCAUUGGCUUGCCACUGGUUAUGUUAUUGACCAAACAUGGAAGGACCGGAGUUUGGAGAUGAGUACGUCUUCGGAGACGCCCCCACGAACUAGGACGCUUCCGAGUCAGAAUGCCUGUCGGUGUAGGCUUGAUGGCAUGGGCACCCGAUUAGCCCCUAUGGUUUCCGCUACUAGAUGUAUCAGAGUGAUUUGGUCUUAGGCCCUGCUUUGUGAACUUGACCAUUCGGUCAUUUGUUGUAAUAAUCAGGUACUUAGAUGUAAGACUCUUUUAUUCGGCAUCUGUGUUCGGUGAGCAUUGAUCUCGGGGAUCACUGAGCACAGCGAUCUCGACUCGUAAGUCGGGGUCCCCACAGAGCUGGUGUCAGAGCCAUCCUGACUAUAGGAAGCCUUAGGUAGCAUGGAUGAUAGCCGAAACGAUUAGUGCACAUAGACCUUAACUUGAGAACCUGCACCCACUAAAAACUUUCUAACCCUCUCCUCUACAUCUUGUAGAUGGCCGCCGUACCUGAGAUGCUUCUGGAGACCCAUAUACCUCUACCACGAGCACUAGGUCAACGCCGACACCAAGGAAUAUCACGUAGACGUGAUAGUGAAGGCUAACGACUCCCCGACUAGUUGGUUCUUUGAAGGACCAUGGAUGAAGGAUCUGAUGUUGGUCGUGGAGACUGCAGCACGAGAGGCGCUCGUGCGACUCCGCGACAUCCUUCCCGUGAUGGCUGACGAGCCAGCUACUCGUCACCUACCAUUUGUUAAGAAUGGGGUAGACGGGAGUUGGACGCUCAACCCAUCUUCUGAGGACGGGACGCCACUCAGGUUUCAGACCUACUUCAGUCUAUCCUCCGACACUUUGAUGCACCUUUUGAUCAAGGAGUCAACUAGGAUUCGCCAAGAGCUGCACCAAGUCAAGGAUUUGCUUCGCACGGAGAAGCUGAAGAACCGCAAGGUGAAGAAGGAAGGAGCACCCAUAGGACCACCUGGCUUUGCUUUCCGAGGAGGAAUACCACCGCUUCAGGCCACUCCUCUCCAGAGUCGUCGCCUAACGGCGGAAGAGUACACCGAACUCUUCGCUACCUCGCCAACCAAGAGACGUCGUGAUGGUCCAGUUCCUUCCCCUACUCCUUCAAAGAAGGGAAGCACUAAUGAAGAUGAAGAUGAAGACGAAGACGAAGACCCCGCAGAACCCGCUUACGAGACCACACAGUCGGCCGCUUAGCUUUAGCAGCAUAGGAAAUUAAGAUGUACCCCGAGCGUAGGAGUUCUUGUAUCGGUUUGCAUGAACCCGUAUGUUGUGUAAGUCUGUUUGAUGCAAGUCGCAUUCUGCCUUAGGCAGCUUGUGAGCGACUACAUUGCCUAUUUUCAAAUUCAAUGCAUUAGCUCUUUCAAAACCAUUGGCUUAAAAAAAUUCACACUAGCACAACACCAGACCCCCUAUUUACUAGAGCAUCAUCCCUCAUGAUUUCGGCCAGUUCGGCAAAAUUGACCUGUCUACUCCCCUGGCGGGAUGGUGAACGCUACUCGCAACAGCACCUUCGGCAACCCCGACUCUGCCUCUUUAGGUUAUUAGCAGGGAACCGGAGGGGAAGCUCAAGAUGGAGAUCACCACGAGCAGCAAGACGAUGUUCCACCACCACCGCCUCCUCCUGAAAGCUUGACUAUGGAUCAAUUCCUUCAAGCCCUUCGAGAGGAGCGUCAAGCCAAUAAUGGCGCUAUUCAGCAGCUGGCUCAAACCUUGGCAAACAACCCACCGCAGAACGGGAAUGGAAAUGGUUGCUCAACUCUCUCUGAGUUUAUGCGAACAACGCCACCCAUAUUCACGGAGAAGACUGAACCAUUGGAUGUCGAUGACUGGAUCUGUACUAUCGAAGACCUCCUCGCGCUGGUCAAGUGCACUGAUGAUCAUGAGAAGGUUCUUUAUGCUUCUCACUGUCUCGGAGGCACGGCCAGAGCUUGGUGGGAUGGAUUUCAGAUCAUGCAAGCAGGGCAAGUCAUCACUUGGGUUGUGUUCAAAGAUGGAUUCCGCGCUGGUCACAUUCCUCUCGGAAUGAUGACCAUGAAAGAAGCGGGAAUUCCAAGCCUUAAGGCAAGGCAGUGGAUCUGUCAAAGAGUAUUUGCAGAAGUUCAACCUCCUGUCAAGGUACGCACCUGAAGAUGUCAGCACUGAGGCGGCCAAAGUGGAACGCUUUAUGGAAGGACUCCAGCAGUCACUCCAGUAUCAGCUGGUUGUUUGUGAAUGCCGGACCUUCAGCGACCUGGUUAAUAAGGCCCUUAUGUUGGAAGAUAAGCGUCGUGCCAUGGAUGACACCCGCAAGCGCAAGCUAAUGGGUAAUGGAGGACCAAGUACACAAAGCCGCGACCAUGGCAGUCAGCUCUAGCAAGACCCAGCUAUCAGCAGCAGCAGUACAAGUAUACGACAUUUCGCCAGAAUUACCAGCCUCAGCAGCAAGUCAACGCCAAGCCAGCAAGCAAUCCGUCAAAUAACGGUGGAGUUAAGAGCAAUCUUCCAGCGCAAGUUACCUGUUUCGGAUGUGGUGAAACCCGAUGCUCCGCGCCCUAAUGCGCCAAAUCCAGGCCAAGGAGCACCAUGCAGGAAUCAGGCUCCCCACAAUCAACAGUAUCACAGCAAGGGGCAGAUUAAUCAUAUUUCCGCACAAGAGGUACCGGAAGACCCGGGCUGCAUUCUGGGUAUGUUCCUCGUCAAAUCUACCCCAGCAACAGUAUUGUUUGAUUGUGGUGCUUCGCAUUCUUUUCUUACACAAAAGUUUGCGGAAAAUGUGGUUUAGAACCUACCUUGCUUCGUGGGCAUAUGGCAAUUCAAACCCCAGGAGCAGUUUUGAAGAUCAACCUGGGGUGUAGGAAGGUCGAGAUAGUUAUUAAUGAGACGAGCUUCUCAGUGGAUCUCAUUGUGCUUAAGUCGCAAGGCCUAGAAAUAAUUCUCGGCAUCGAUUGGUUGGCCAAGCAUCAAAGCAUCUUGGACUGUGCCAACAUGGCCAUUACCAUGACAAGUCACCAAGGGGUCAAAGUCAAGUAUAUCUCUGAGCUGGUACCCGCUCGAGUACCACGGGUUAACAGCCUGUCAGAGGAAGGACUCGAUCGAGUGCCAAUAGUCUGUGAAUACCCGGACGCCUUUCCUGAUGAGCUACCAGGGAUGCCUCCUGACCGAGACAUCGAGUUCAUCAUCGAGCUCAUGCCCAGAUCAAGUCCUAUCUAUAAGAAGCCUUACGGGAUGGGAUCCGAAGAGCUAGCGGAGUUGAAGAAGCAACUGGAUGAGCAACUCAGGAAAGGGUUUAUUCGUCCAAGUGUGUCGCCUUGGGGAUCACCUGUUCUCUUCGUAUCCAAGAAGGAUGGGACUAUCAGACUUUGCGUCGAUUACCGUUCUCACAAUGAGGUCACGAUCAAGAACAAGUACCCACUCCCCAAGAUUAAAGACUUGUUCGAUCAGUUAAAUGGAGCUAAGGUUUUCUCCAAGAUCGGCCUCUGAUCUGGAUAUUACCAACUGAAGGUCCGACCUGAGGACAUACCCAAGACUGCAUUCGUGACCCGGUACGGUCUGUACGAAUGCACUAUCAUGUCUUUUGGGUUGACUAAUGCCCCAGCUUACUUCAUGUACCUCAUGAAUAAGGUCUUCAUGGAAUACCUCGACAAGUUUGUCGUCGUGUUCAUUGAUGAAAUAUUAAUCUUUUCCAAAUCCGAAGAAGAGCAUGAGCAACACUUGAAGUUAGUAGUGGAGAAGCUUCGAGAGCACCAACUUUAUGCCAAGUUCAGCAAGUGCCAGUUUUGGCUGAAUGAAGUUGGAUUCUUGGGUCAUACCAUGACAACAAGUGGAUUGGCAGUUGACCCCUCCAAGAUUACUACGGUAACCAACUGGGAAUCGCCAAUUGACAUGAAGGAAGUCAGGAGCUUCCUCGGACUCGCGGCAUAUUACCGCAAGUUCGUAGAAGGAUUCUCCCACAUCGCUUGACCCAUGACUCAGCUCUUGAAGAAAGGCAAAAAGUUCGAAUGGACACCGGAGUGUGAAGCAAGCUUUCAAGAGUUGAAGAAGAGGCUAACCAACGCCCCGGUAUUGGCCACUCUAGAUAUCAGCAAGGAGUUUGCGAUAUAUUGUGAUGCCUCCAGGACCGGACUCGGUGGGGUUCUGAUGCAAGAUGGCAGAGUUGUGGCAUAUCUGUCAUGGCAACUGCGCCCGCAUGAAGAGAACUACGCCACCCAUGAUCUUGAGUUAGCAGCUGUAGUGCAUGCUCUGAAGAUGUGGCAACAUUACUUUCUGGGAAAGCGAUGUGAAAUAUAUAGUGACCACAUGAGUCUGAAGUAUAUCUUCACCCAGAGGGAAUUGAAUAUGAGGCAACGAAGAUGGUUGGAGCUAAUCAAAGACUACGACCUUAGCAUUCAAUAUCACCCUGGUAAGGCCAAUGUAGUGCCUGAUGCCUUAAGCCGGAAGACCAGCACCUUGAACGUCUUGCUCAAGGAAAGGCAACCCGCCUUAUAUGAAGAAUUGGAGAACUUCGGGUUAGAACUAGUGGAAUCGGGAUUCCUAGAUAACCUCGAAGUCAAACCAACACUGGCGGAUGAUAUCAAAGAGGCCCAGAAAGGCCAUAAGAGCAUUGAAGGCAUCACGAAGAAGAUUCAAGAAGGCAAGGCCCCAGGAUUCUCGGUGGAUGAGCAAGGAGUAGUGUGGUUUCGGAAACGUUUAUGCGUACCCAACAAGGCUGAACUCAAGGACUUAAUCCUACAGGAAGCACAUGAUACCCCCUACUCUAUUCACCCCGGUGGUACCAAGAUGUAUCAAGACCUCCGAGAAAGAUUCUGGUGGCAAUGACAUGAAGAGGGAAAUAGCGUCUUAUGUUGCCAAGUGCGACGUGUGCCAGAUAGUCAAGGCCGAGCAUCAGCGACCCGCAGGACUGCUACAACCUCUCAAAGUGCCAGAAUGGAAGUGGGACAAGAUAGGCAUGGACUUUGUUACCAGCUUACCAAGGUCAAGCAGAGGCCAUGAGUCUAUAUGGGUUAUUGUCGAUCAUUUGACCAAAGUGGCACAUUUCAUCCCUCUCAACACCACUUACGAUGGGAACAAGCUGGCUAGUCUCUAUAUCGAGCGUAUAGUAAGCCUUCAUGGAAUUCCCAAGGAGAUUGUAUCUGACCGAGGCGCGCAGUUCACCUCGAGGUUUUGGAAAAACUUCCAAGAAGCCCUCGGAACCAAGCUCUCCUUCAGCACCACUUUCCACCCGCAAACGGGCGGACAAACGGAAAGAGUGAAUCAGAUACUCGAAGAUAUGCUCCGCGCAUGCGUCUUGGUGCAUGGAGCCAAAUGGGAAGACUGUAUGCCGAUCGCUGAGUUUUCAUACAACAACAGCUACCAGUCCAGUCUCCAAAUGGCCCCAUUCGAAGUGUUGUACGGACGAAGGUGCCGCACCCUUCUCAAAUGGUCCGAAACCGGUGAAGGGCUGAUUUUCGGGCCGGAAAUUUUGCACAAGGCAGAAGAGAAGGUGCAACUGGUCCGAGAAAAUCUGAAAGCAGCCAAGUCGCGAUAGAAGAGUUAUGCGGAUUCUCGCCGAAGGGAUGUGGAGUUCCUUCCGAGAGAUCUGGAGUACCUCCAUGUCACACCUCUCAAGGGAACCAAGCGUUUCCAUGUUAAAGGGAAACUCGCUCGAAGGUUCAUUGGACCUUUUAAGAUCACGGAAGGCGUGGAGAAGUUGCUUAUCAGUUGGAGCUACCUCCGGAACUUUCGGGUGUCCACAACGUCUUCCAUAUAUCCCAACUUGGGAAGUGUCUUAAAGCGCCAAGUCGUCCCGAUCUUUACAAGGACAUUAACCACCAGGCCAUUGACCUUCAGCCUGACCUCACCUACCGCGAGAGGCCGAUCCGCAUUCUGGACAAGGAGGAGUGUUGCACCAGAAGCUGCAUCAUCAAGUUUUUCAAGGUUCAAUGGAGCAACCACACCGAAGCCGAAGCUACAUGGGAGCGUGAAGACUAUCUCAGAUCCGAGUUUCCAGACCUUUUUAACACCUAGCUUAGGAAUCUCGAGGACGAGAUUCUUGUAAGGGGGAUAGGUCUGUCACACCAUGUUUUUACUAUCACUUAUCUGUAUUGCGAAAAUCUUAGCUUGUUAUAAAAAUUCAAAACUAAUGAUGUAAGUGCCAUGAUUUUCAUUGUAUGCUUGUGAGAGUGAUCAUGUGAUGAUAAAAACCCCAUUUCACAAUGAUAAAUUAUUUCUAAAAAUCUUUACUUGAUUAUAAUCAAGGUAAACCCUACUUUGAGUUGCACUACUUGUCCCUGAUGGCAAGAUUGGUUUCUACUCAAAGUUGGUGAUCUGAUUUUAACUUAUCUUUAUAUUCCAAAACCACAAAAAUAAUUAUUUUUAUAAUUAUUUUUAUAAUUAUUUUCCUAAUUUAAUUGAAUGUCCAUUUCUGAGGCCAGAAUUGGUAUUCCUACAUGGAAAAAUACUUUUCUGCCUUAGAAAAAUCUGAUUAAAUUUGGUGAUGAUCAGAAGGACAUAUAUUUUCCGUACAUAAUAUUUUCAACCCUAUUUUAUAUUACAAUUAUUGAAUAAAACCAGGAAAGCUAUUUUUGUCUGUUUUGACCUUUUGAAAUAUUUCCAAAGGAAGUAUUCUCAAUAAAAUCCUAGAAAAUUCCAGUGGUGUCCCUAAGCCAUAUUUGGUGUCCACAUAAAGUUUCACCUUGAUCCAAGGUGAUUAAGGACCCCAAAUAACCCAAAAACCCCUUUUGCCCAGAAUCAAGUUAGAGCAACUCUUCAUAGCAAAGUUUAUCCAAUAAGGCUGAAACUUUGCAGGAGUGCCUAAUACCUCNNNNNNNNNNUGGGAUUUGUGGGACUUAGUUUGCCCACACUCUCUUUGGAAGCGACAGAUCUGGUCAUAUUGGAGCGUUUUCAAGUUUACAAAGCUAACUUGUCCAAUGGAGCUCCAACUUGGUGAAACCCCGUGUUUUAGCACCAAACCCAAACCUGUUAAGUUGCAGCACCAGUGGUGGGGUGCAACCCCCUCAAACCACUGUCGAGCACCUUCUGACAGAUGGGAAAAAGCCAUCUUAGCCACAGUUAAACCCAACCCCUUUGCUCCAAACUUAUAGAUUAGGUGGCCAGUAUCCAUAUCUAACCCCAGUCAACUGGCCCCUUACUGGUUCAAAGUGGAAAGGCCAAAAAACCCAAUUUAUGCUUCAGUUCAAGGCUGACAACACCAGCAUUUCUUGUCUCCCUUGACCAGCCGAAGCUCCCACAAGACCCAAACGGCUAGCCACACUCACAGCCAGUGUCGGGACACGCUAGACACGUCCAAAGUGCCACAGAGCGCACCAGAAGGCCGUGGCAUGCCAAAACUGCGCUCCGGGCGUGCUACCGGAAGCCACCGAGGUGGGGGCGACGCUCUCGGCCAGUUCCAGCCUCCCCCGAGGUGUCCAACCUCUUCCCAAAAAACCCUCUGCGUCGAGCAAGCCUCAGGGCCCCUCCUCUCCCGCGCUAGACUUCGUGCGACGCGUGCCCGCGCGCACCAGAACCGGCCAAGGUUGCAUGGUUACGGAUGCGCGAUUCCCCCCCCCCNNNNNNNNNNNNNNNNNNNNNNNNNNNNNNNNNNNNNNNNNNNNNNNNNNNNNNNNNNNNNNNNNNNNNNNNNNNNNNNNNNNNNNNNNNNNNNNNNNNNUCACACACACACACUUGGUUUAUGCGGAAAUAGCUGGACGUAGUUUAAGCAGGAUUACCCAAUUGUCCUUGACCGUGGACACGACUAUUCGAAUAGUUUUACACUGUGCAGAGGUAGUACGCUGGACCCACGAGAUUCGGGAAAUUUUCGUGUCAUCCACGACUCACGGUAUAUAACAUACCCGAGGUAAGUACCCGAUCAAUGCCUUUCCCGUGACGAUACUAGACAAAGAGGUCCACUCAAUUGGUACCCAACCCACAUGUUGUACGUCUUACAAGCACCGACUCUGGACAGUACCAACCAUGCGGGAACCAACGGUGUGACUGGAACUCAUAAAAAUGGCAUAGUCGUCCUACCUGGCAUGACCCCAUCACGAGAGUGACCACACAUCACUCCCGCCACUAAUAAUGUGGCUCUUUGCUAGCACCGACCAAAGUAAUCAACAUAGCCCCGUCCCAUAAGGGGUAACAUGGUUGUAUUGGUAAGGUUGGGAUGGUCGACACAUCAUAAAUCUAGUCCCCUUCCGAAACCAUACUCACACAAAUACCGGGUGCAUCACUUCACCAAAAGUGACCACCUAACUCAUCAUCACCCUCGAGCAUUAGUGGCAGCCGACGGGGUUUUCAUAAACUCUUGCUUUAUGUCAUCAACAUGCUCAUGAUAAUACUACUUUUAUCUUUACUUGUCAACAUGGUAUUAGCAAGACCCUCAAGGUGUAGGAUCAAGCUCAAUGCAUGUGCUCCGGGGGAGCCAUCGGUAAAAUCAUAUCAAAUGAUUACCGACACUUAUGAUCAUAUGCAACAGAAAUACUUUCUAUUUUAAUCAUGCAAAGUAACAUAUGCUCAGUCAUGGUAAAAGGGCUGCUUGCCUUGGUCAGCUAGGUAUCCGGGGUCUUCGAGGUCUUCCGCUCCGAUUCCCUCGUCACACGGAUUUUCUAUCGUCGAUAAAACAAUAAAUAAGAAAUAGCUCACACAGGAACAUGUCACAAAGUCAUUUUAAAAAUGUUCUUUAUUACUGAUAAAUCUAAGUUAUCAUUUUGAAAAAUAUUUGCCUCAGUUUCUCUUGAAGGAACAUUUUUAAAAUUAACCAAAAAGAAGCAAAACUAUUACAAUUUAGUCAUUUUUAUUAUUGUAAAAUAGAUUAGUUGUAUAAAAAUUCAUUCACUCAUUUUUAUUAAAUACUACAUAUUUUUAUAAGAAUAACAGUGAAAGAAUUAUAUAUUUACACUGGUUAAAUGUUUUUAUUAAAAUCUUAGAAACCAGAUUUUUAAAAAUAAAAAGAAAAUCGGCUAACUCCUGGGUGGCUCGGCCUGGAGCUGGGGUGGCCCAUGGCGAGCCGACAGCCUGCCCAGGCGCGUGCGCCAUCAGGUUUGAACCUGACGUGCAGGGACCUGCGGUUAGUGGCUGUGGACAACGCUAGGGAGGAGGCUGGGCCACCGAGAGGUGGGGCUCACCUGUCGGGGUCGUCUCCUACCUCUGGCCAGAGAGGAGGAGGAGCACUUCGGCGAGGUUGCCGACGCUCUCAAGCCCAACGAGGACUGGAAUGGGUUUGCCUUGCUGUCGCCUACCUGCUGGUGGUCGGAAGAAGGUCGGAGAGGCACGGGUUCGCCAGCGACGAGGAGGCCGUGGCGGAGGAGUUUCAAGAGGUGGUCGAGGAGGUGGCUAGAGACACGAAAAUGCUCGGGCGAGUUGGGGGAAAGCUUCGUGGGGCUAAGGGGAUCAGUUUGGUGGGUUGCGGGACGCAGGAGCCGUCGUGUAGCCGGAGAUCGACCGGAGCUCUGAGGCGAAGGGGCCUCGGUUGAUCUCGAGCACCGGGGCUCUGCUAGGUUGCUGGGGUGGCUAGGGAGGUACUAGUGAUCGUGGUGGAGCUACCUGAGGGGUGCUGGAGUGAGGGGGAGGGCUAUUUAUAGGCCCGUGAUGGUGAGCCGAUUCGGGAGCGCCGGUGACUCACCAUAUGGGGGGUGUAGAGAGAGGCUGGGGCCGAAACCACGGUCUUAGGACAUGGGUUUGGACUACCAGAGCCAUCUACUGCAGAGGGAGAGAGAGGGGGAAAUCGCCCAUCCGUGGGCAUGCAACCUUGGCCGGUUCUGGUGCGCGCGGGUACGCGUCGCACGAACUCUAGCGCGGGAGAGGAGGGGCCCUGAGGCUUGCUCGACGCAGAGGGGUUGUCGGGGAAUAGGUUGGACACCUCGGGGGAGGCUGGAACUGGCCGAGAGCAUAGCCCCAACCACGGUGGCUUCCUGUAGUGCGCCCAGAGUGUAGUUUUGGCAUGCCACGGCAUGCUGGUGCGCUCUGUGGCAAUUUGGACGUGUCUAGCGUGCCCUGGCACUGGCUAUGAGUGUGGCUAGCCGUUUGGGUCGUGUGGGAGCUUUGGCUGGUCAAGGGAGACAAGAAAUGCUGGUGCUGUUAGCCUUGAAAUGAAGCUUAAAUUGGGGAUUUUGGCCUUUCCACUUUGAACCAGUGAGGGGCCAGUUGACUGGGGUUAGAUAUGGAUACUGGCCACCUAAUCUAUAAGUUUGGAGCAAAGGGGUUGGGUUUAACUGUGGCUAAGAUGGCCUUUUCCCAUCUGUCAGAAGGUGCUCGACAGUGGUUUGAGGGGGUUUCACCCCACCACUGGUGCUGUAACUUAACAGGUUUGGGUUUGGUGCUAAAACAUGGUAUUUCACCAAGUUUGAGCUCCAUUGGACAAGUUUAGCUUUGUAAACUUGAAAGCACUCCAAUAUGACCAGAUCUGUCCCUUCCAAAGAGAGUGUGGGCAAACUAAGUCCCAAAAAUCCCAUUUUUUGGUGUGGAACCCUCAUUUGAGGUAUUAGGCACUCCUGCAAAGUUUCAGCCUUAUUGGAUAAACUUUUCUAUGAAGAGUUGCUCUAACUUGAUUCUGGGCAGAAGGUUUUUUUUGGGGUAUUUGGUGUCCUUAAUCACCUUGGAUCAAGGUUAAACUUCAUGUGGACACCAAAUAUGUCUUAGGGAUACCACUGGAAUUUUCUAGGAUUUUAUUGAGAAUAAUUCCUUUGGAAAUAUUUCAAAAGGUCAAAACAGACAGAAAUAGCUUUCCUGGUUUUAUUCAAUAAUUAUAAUAUAAAAUAGGGUUAAAAAUCUUAUGUAUGGAAAAUAUAUGUCCUUCUGAUCAUCACCAAAUUUAAUGAGAUUUUUCUAAGGCAGAAAAGUAUUUUUCCAUGUAGGAAUAUCAAUUCUGGCCUCAGAAAUGGACAUGUAAUUCAAUUAGGAAACACAAUUAUAAAAAUAAUUAUUUUUAUGGUUUUGGAAUAUAAACAUAAGUUAAAAUCAGAUCACCAACUUUGAGCAGAAACCAACCUUGCCAUCAGGGACAAGUAGUGCAACUCAAAGUAGGGUUUACCUUGANNNNNNNNNNNNNNNNNNNNNNNNNNNNNNNNNNNNNNNNNNNNNNNNNNNNNNNNNNNNNNNNNNNNNNNNNNNNNNNNNNNNNNNNNNNNNNNNNNNNCCGGGCAGCAGAUGGGAAAGAAGCUAUAUGGCCAGCUGCUGCUGCCCCCAUGGUGCACAGUCUGGUGCCAUGUGGCACCUUUGCCGUCGGCCAGCUGAUGGCAAAGCUCUUUGCCAUCAGCUGGCAGACAGCAAAGAGCCCAUAUAGCUUCUGUUUUGUUUGUUUUUUAUUAUUUCACAACAUAUAUAUAUAUAUAUAUAUAUAUAUAUAUUUCACAGCACAUAUAUGAUAUAUAUUUCACAACACAUAUAUAUAGUUCACCACACAUAUAUGAUAUACAUAUAAAGUUCAUCAAUGUACAUCCCAUAUAUCGAAAGAACCAACAUACAAAGUGUUACACUGUUCAUCCAUAGAUACAUAUACAUAUAGUUCGACAUUGUUCGUCAACUCAAAUGAAAACUAGAACUAAUAAGGCACUCCAUGAGUGCUAGCUUCCAUGCAUGUAGUACAUCCAAUCUGCAAAAAUGUGAAUAAGAAAGUCAAAAGAAGAACAACAUAUGAUNNNNNNNNNNNNNNNNNNNNNNNNNNNNNNNNNNNNNNNNNNNNNNNNNNNNNNNNNNNNNNNNNNNNNNNNNNNNNNNNNNNNNNNNNNNNNNNNNNNNCUUCUCUUCUUCUUCUCUUCUUCUUCUUCUUCCUUCUUUUCAUUUUCCUCUUUCUUCUCCUCUUCUCCUCUUCUUCUUCUUCUUCUUAUCCUCCUCCUCCUCCUCCUCCUCCUCUUCUCCUCUUCUUCCUCGUCUUCUUCUUCUUCUUCCUCUUAUUUCUAUUUCUAUUUUUCUUUAUUGUCUUGUUCUACUUAUUCUUCUUUUCUUCCUUUUUAUCUUCUUCUCCUUCUUAUUUUUUCUUCUUCUCUUCUUCUCUUCUUCUCUUCUUCUUCUCUUCUUCUUUUCUUCUUCUCCUUCUUAUUUUUUUCUUCUCCUCCUCCUCUUCUUCUUCUUCUCCUUCUUAUUUUUUUUCCUCUUCUUCUUCUUAUUCUUCUUCUUCUCCUCCUCCUCCUCCUCCUCUUCUCCUCUUCUACUCCUCCUCCUCCUCUUCUUCUUCCUCUUCUUUCUAUUAAGCUAACUAACUACAAUAACUACUACAACAACUACAAUAACAACAACUACUACAACAACUACAAUAAUAAGAACAACUACUACAACAACAAUAAAAAAUCAACUUUGUAGUUAUAAUCUAAUUCCAAAAAUCUAAAUAACAAAUAAUUAAUUAUCCCGUGGGGUGGGGGUGUGUGUGGGGGCCCACCGGCAGGGGCGGCUAUGGAGUCGUGGGCGGCGGGGCCGGGGGUGUUNNNNNNNNNNNNNNNNNNNNNNNNNNNNNNNNNNNNNNNNNNNNNNNNNNNNNNNNNNNNNNNNNNNNNNNNNNNNNNNNNNNNNNNNNNNNNNNNNNNNAGAAGAAGAAGAAGGAGACUAGAAGAAGAAGAAGAAUAAGGAGAAAAAUAAGAAGAAAGAGAAGGAAAAUAAUAUGAAGAAAGAAAUAAUAAGCUCAUUCUUCUUCUUUUAUUCUUUCUUUUUCUUCUCUUUCCUCUUCUAUUCUUUAUUUUCCUUUUUUUGCCAUUUUUGAGCUUAUUAUGUCAUUUUGGAGGAAAACAAGCUAAGUAUAUUACAUUUAUGAGUUAACCAAGGUUAUUAUGCCAUUUUUUACCUAACUAAGCUAAUAAUGUCAUUUUAGAGGAAAACAAGCUAAGUAUAUGACAUUUAUGAGCUAACCAAGGUUAUUAUGCCAUUUCUCACCUAACUAAGUUGAAUAUGUCAUUUUGGUGGAAGAUAAGCUAAGUAUAUGACAUUUAUGAGAUAACCAAGGUUAUUAUUCCAUUUUUCACCUAACUAAGCUAAUUAUGUUAUUUUAGAGGAAAACAAGCUAAGUAUAUAACAUUUAUAAGCUAACUAAGGUUAUUAUGUCAUUUCCGACCUAACUAAGAUAAUUAUGUCAUAAAUGAACUAAAUAAGCUAAUUAUGUCAUUUUGGAGGAUAAUUAAAUAAGAAGAAGAAGAAGAUGAUGAUGAUUAUGAUGAUGAUGAUGAAAAGAAGAAGAAGAAGNNNAAGAAGAAGAAGAAGACUAGAAGAAGAAGAAAAGAAUAAGAAGACUAGAAGAAGACAAAGAAGAAGAAAGAGAAGGAAAAUAAUAAGAAGAAAGAAAUAAGAAGCUCAUUCUUUUUCUUUUAUUAUUUCUUUUACUUCUCUUUCCUCUUCUAUUCUUUCUUUUUAUUUUAUGCAAUUUUUGAGCUUAUUAUGUCAUUUUGGUGGAAAAUAAGCUAAGUAUAUGACAUUUAUGAGCUAACCAAGGUUAUUAUGCCAUUUUUGACCUAUCUANNNNNNNNNNNNNNNNNNNNNNNNNNNNNNNNNNNNNNNNNNNNNNNNNNNNNNNNNNNNNNNNNNNNNNNNNNNNNNNNNNNNNNNNNNNNNNNNNNNNGCUGCGUAGCUAAUCCAAAGAACGUCCGCAAAGUAAAAUACUAUUGCUCGGCUAACUAAUACUAAUAGAAAACCGAACGGUACCUAGUGUCUAAUCAUGAGCGUUGGAUUUAAAUCGAAUGGCUAGGGGAGGGGAUGGGGCUCACAGGGGGGCUGGCUCAUGGAAGGAAGGAGAGGGGAGGAGAGAAGGAAAGAGAAAGGAGAGAGGUAGGGGGUGACCGGGGCGGGGUGGAGUCGGCCAGGUGGGGCCCGACGGCAGUGAGGGAAGGAGGGGGGCUCGGGUCGGUCGACCGGUUCCUAACACGAUCAGAUCCCGGGCCUCAAGGGAUCUGGCCCGAUUCGUUAUCCUGCGCUGAGGCGCUUUCCUAAAUAAAUAAAAAAGAUUCUGUUUUUUUUAAUUUUUUUUUCAAAAACAGAAAGUAAAAUCAAAGAAAAAGGAAAGUAAAUAAAAUCUAAAAAUAGUGAUAUUAUAUAUCAAAAUUUUCAGAAAAAAAUCUCUACAUGUUUAACAUUUUUCCAAGGUCAAAAUAAAAACUUAAAAAAAUGUUUUUUCAGAAAAAAACCCCUAAAAGCUUUAUUUUCUUUUGCAAAUAUUUUCUCAACCUAGUUUUGCUUUUCUAGGCUCAAAAUAUAUUAAAAGUGCCCCUGGUUUUGGAGGGUCAUAUUCCUCCACUCUUUCUUGCUUGGCAAGAGAAUAAUCCCCGGCACUCCGUGAGUGAAGAAGAAAACAAAAUUGCAAAACAAAAAUUGGAAGAAAUUCAAAUGCCACCUUCAUUCAAAAUCUUUAUAGUUGAAGAGGUCAUGUCAUCUUCUCUCAUUGAUUUUAAAUGGAUGAAUUUGAAUUCACCGGAAAAGGGGAACGUCAUUUUAUUCCGUCUCAUUCAAAAGUUUUUGAAAAGUUUCAAACUUCACUCAAGUUUCAAUCACUCGAACAAACAAACAAUCAAUCUAAUAAUUAUAUUAACAUUCCAAAAUUUGGGAUGUUACAAACCUACCACACUUAAAAUGUAUCUCGUCCGCGAGAUUCGAAGAGGCUAGAAACAAAGGUCAGGGUUUGGGGGUCUUCUAACAAAUCCAAUCUCCGGCAAAGCGGGAUGCNNNNNNNNNNNNNNNNNNNNNNNNNNNNNNNNNNNNNNNNNNNNNNNNNNNNNNNNNNNNNNNNNNNNNNNNNNNNNNNNNNNNNNNNNNNNNNNNNNNNAUGUUAUUGUAAUAGGUUUCACGACUUGCAUGUCGAUGAGUAUGACAACCGGCAUGAGCCAUAUGAGCUGUCUUAACUUAUUGUAUGAGAUGCAACGCCAUGUGCUUACUACUUUUACUUCAUUGCUAACGGUUAGCUAUAGUAGUAGUGAUAGUAGUAGUUGGCGUGAUGACUUCACGGAGACAUGAUGAUGGAGAUCAUGGUGUCACGCCGGUGACAAUGAUGAUCAUGCGAUGCCUGAAGAUGGAGAUCGAAAGAGCAAAGAUGAUAAUGGCCAUAUCAUGUCACUAUAUGAUUGCAUUGUGAUGUUUAUCAUGUUUUUCAUCUUAUUGCUUAGAAUGACGGUAGCAUAAUAAGAUGAUCCCUCUUAAAAUACCAAGAACGUAUUCCCCUAAGUGUGCACCAUUGCGAAGGAUCGUUGUAUCGAAGCACCACGUGAUGAUCGGGUGUGAUAGAUUCUAACGUUCGCAUACAACGGAUGUAAGCCAGAUUUACACACGCGAAACACCUAGGUUGACUCGACGAGGUUAGCAUGUACAGACAUGACCUAGAAUACAAGAGACCGAAAGGUAGAACAUGAGUCGUAUGGUUGAAUAUGAUCAACAUGAAGUUGCUCACCAUGGUGACUAGUCCGUCUCACGUGAUGAUCGGACACAGGUUAGUCAACAUGGAUCAUGUAUCACUUAGAUGACUAGAGGGAUGUCGAUUUGAGUGGGAGUUCAUACUUAAUUUGAUUAAAUGAACUUAAUUUUCAUGAACUUAAUCUAAAAGUUGUCUUUAUAAAUAUUGUAGAUGGCCAACGUCAACCUCAAUUUAAACGCAUUCCUAGAGAAAAACAAGCUGAAAGAUGAUGGUAGCAACUAUGCGGACUGGGUCCGCAACUUGAAGCUCAUCCUUGAAGCAGCUAAAAAGGCUUAUGUCCUUCAUGCGUCGCUAGGUGACCCUCCCUCUCCCGCAGCAGCCCAGGACAUUCUCAAUGUCUGGCAAACCCGGAGUGAUGACUACUCUCUGGUUAGGUGUGGCAUGCUAUACAGUUUGGAAACGGGGCUCCAAAGGCGUUUUGAGCAACAUGGUGCAUAUGAGAUGUUCCAAGAGCUGAAACUAGUUUUUCAAGCUCAUGCCCAUGUUGAGAGAUAUGAAGUAUCCGACAAGUUCUUUAGCUGUAAGAUGGAGGAGAACAAUUCUGUCAGUGAGCAUAUACUCAAAAUGUUUGGGUUACACGGUCGUUUGACUUCACCUGGAGUCGAACUUCCGGAUGAUGCCAUAAUUGACAGAAUCCUCCAGUCUCUCCCACCAAGCUACAAAGGUUUUGUGCUGAACUACAACAUGCAAGGGAUGGAGAAGACCAUUCCCGAGUUGUACUCGAUGCUCAAGUCUGCAGAAGUAGAAAUCAAGAAAGAGCAUCAAGUGUUGAUGGUCAACAAGACCACCAGUUUCAAGAAGGGCAAGGGUAAGAAGAACUUCAAGAAAGACAGCAAAGCCAUUGCCGCGCCCGAUAAGCCAGAUGCCGGGAAGAAGAAAAAGAAUGGACCCAACCCUGAGACUGAGUGCUUCUAUUGCAAGGGAAAAGGUCACUCGAAGCAGAACUUCCCCAAGUACUUAGCAGACAAGAAGGCCGGCAACGUUAAAGGUAUAUGUGAUAUACAUGUUAUUGAUGUGUACCUUACCAGUGCUCGUAGUAGCUCCUGGGUAUUUGAUACCGGUGUUGUUGCUCACAUUUGCAACUCAAAGCAGGAACUGCGGAAUAAGCGGAGACUGGCCAAGGACCAGAUGACGAUGCGCGUCGGGAAUGGCUCCAAGGUCGAUGUGAUCACCGUCGACACGCUACCUCUACAUCUACCGUCAGGAUUAGUUUUAAACCUUAAUAAUUGUUAUUUAGUACCAGCUUUGAGCACGAAUAUUGUAUCAGGGUCUUGCUUAAUGCGAGACGGCUACUCAUUUAAGUCAGAGAAUAAUGGUUGUUCUAUUUAUAUGAGUGAUAUGUUUUAUGGCCAUGCUCCGCUGGUGAAUGGUUUAUUCUUGAUGAAUCUCGAUCGCGAUGUUACACAUAUUCAUAGUGUGAGUACCAAAAGAUGUAAAGUUGAUAAUGAUAGUCCCACAUACUUGUGGCACUGCCGCCUUGGUCAUAUCGGUGUUAAGCGCAUGAAGAAGCUCCAUACUGAUGGACUAUUAGAGUCUCUUGACUUUGAAUCAUUUGACACAUGCGAACCGUUCCUCAUGGGCAAGAUGACUAAGACUCCAUUCUCAGGAAUAAUGGAGAGAGCGACCGACUUAUUGGAAAUAAUACAUACUGAUGUGUGUGGUCCAAUGAACGUUGAAGCUCGCGGUGGCUAUCGUUAUGUUCUCACUCUCACCGAUGAUUUGAGUAGUUAUGGGUAUAUCUACUUGAUGAAGCACAAAUCUGAGACAUUUGAAAAGUUCAAGGAAUUUCAGAGUGAGGUCGAGAAUCAACGUGACAGAAAAAUUAAGUGUCUACGAUCUGAUCGUGGAGGAGAACAUUUGAGUCACGAGUUUGGCACACACCUAAGGAAGUGUGGAAUCGUUUCACAACUGACGCCGCCUAGAACACCGCAACACAACGGAGUGUCUGAACAUCGUAAUCGCACUUUAUUAGAUAUGGUACGAUCUAUGAUGUCUCUUACCGACUUACCGCUAUCAUUUUGGGGAUACACAUUAGAAACUGCAGCAUUCACUUUAAAUAGGGCACCGUCUAAAUCCGUUGAGAUGACACCGUAUGAACUAUGGUUUGGCAAGAAACCUAUGUUGUCGUUUCUUAAAGUUUGGGGCUGCGAUGCUUAUGUGAAGAAACUUCAACCAGAGAAGCUCGAACCCAAAGCGGAGAAAUGCGUAUUCAUAGGAUACCCCAAGGAAUCUAUUAGGUAUACCUUCUAUCUUAGAUCCGAAGGUAAAACCUUUGUUGCCAAGAACGGAUCCUUUCUAGAGAAAGAGUUUCUCUCGAAAGAAGUAAGUGGGAGGAAAGUAGAACUUGAUGAGGUAAUAGACCCCCUCUCGAACCGGAAAGUAGCGCAGCACGGGAAAUUGUUCCUGUGGCGCCUACACCAACUGAAGAGGAAGUUAAUGAUAAUGAUCAUGAAGCUUCGGAUCAAGUUACUACUAAACCGCGAAGGUCCACAAGGGCACGCUCCGCACCAGAGUGGUAUGGCAACCCUGUGAUGGAAAUCAUGUUGUUAGACAAUGGUGAACCUUCGAACUAUGAAGAAGCAAUGUCGGGCCCAGAUUCCAACAAAUGGCUUGAGGCUAUGAAAUCCGAGAUAGGAUCCAUGUAUGAGAACAAAGUAUGGACUUUGGUGGACUUGCCCGAUGAUCACCGAGCCAUAGAAAAUAAAUGGAUCUUCAAGAAGAAGACUGAUGCAAACGGUAAUGUGCCGUUUAUAAAGAUCGACUUGUCGCAAAGGGUUUUCGACAAAUUCAAGGAAUUGACUACGAGGAGACUUUCUCUCCCGUAGCGAAGCUGAAAUCAGUCCGAAUCAUGUUAGCAAUUGCCGCCUUUUAUGAUUAUGAAAUUUUGCAAAUGGACGUGAAAACAGAGUUCCUUAACGGGAAUCUUAAGGAAGAGUUGUAUAUGAUGCAACCAGAAGGUUUUGUCGACCCUAAGGGUGCUAACAAAGUGUGCAAGCUCCAGCGCUCCAUCUAUGGGCUGGUGCAAGCAUCUCCGAGUUGGAACAUUCGCUUCAAUGAGGUGAUUAAAGCGUUUGGGUUUAUACAGGUUUACGGAGAAGCCUGUCUGUACAAGAAAGUGAGUGGGAGCUCUGUAGCUUUCCUCGUAUUGUAUGUGGAUGACAUAUUAUUGAUGGGGAAUAAUAUAGAGAUGCUGGAGAGCAUAAAGGCCUACUUGAACAAGAGUUUUUCAAUGAAGGACCUUGGAGAAGCUGCAUACAUAUUAGGCAUCAAGAUCUAUAGAGAUAGAUCGAGGCGCCUCAUAGGUCUUUCGCAAAGUACAUACGUUGACAAGAUAUUGAAGAAGUUCAAUAUGGAAAACUCAAAGAAAGGGUUCUUCCCAGUUUUGCAAGGUAUGAGAUUGAGUAAGACUCAGUCGCCGACCACGGAAGCAGAUAGAGAGAAGAUGAGUACUGUCCGCUACGCUUCAGUCGUAGGUUCUCUAAUGUAUGCCAUGCUAUGUACCAGACCUGAUAUAAACCUUGCCAUAAGUUUGGUAGGGAGGUACCAAAGUGAUCCCGGUAUGGAAUACUGGACAACGGUCAAGAAUAUCCGUAAGUACCUGAAGAGGACUAAGGAGAUGUUUCUCGUUUAUGGAGGUGACGAAGAGCUCGCUGUAAAGGGUUACGUCGAUGCUAGCUUCGACAAAUAUCCGGAUGACUCUAAGUCAUAGACCGGAUACAUGUAUGUUUUGAAUGGUGGGGCAGUGUGCUGGUGCAGCAGCAAGCAAGAAGUCAUGGCAACAUCUACAUGUGAAGCGGAGUACAUAGCUGCUCCAGAAGCGGCUCAUGAAGGAAUUUGGAUGAAGGAGCUCAUCACCGACCUUGGAGUGGUUCCAAGCGCGUCGGGUCCAAUGACACUCUUCUGUGAUAACACUGGGGCCAUUGCCAUAGCCAAGGAGCCCAGGUUUCACCGGAAGACCGAGCACAUCAAACGCCGCUACAACUCCAUCCAGGACCAUGUCCAGAGCGGAGUAAUAGAGAUUUGUAAAGUACACACGAAUCUGAAUGUUGUAGACCCGUUGACUAAACCUCUUCCUCGAGCAAAACAUGAUCAACACCAUAAUGCUAUGGGUGUUCGAUACAUCACAAUGUAACUAGAUUAUUGACUCUAGUGCAAGUGGGAGACUGUUGGAAAUAUGCCCUAGAGGCAAUAAUAAAAUGGUUAUUAUCAUAUUUCCUUGUUCAUGAUAAUCGUCUAUUGUUCAUGCUAUAAUUGUAUUAACAGGAAACAAUAGUACACGUGUGAAUAAAUAGAUCACAAUGUGUCCCUAGCAACCUCUAGUUGGCUAGCUCGUUGAUCAAUAGAUGAUCAUGGUUUCCUGAUCAUGGACAUUAGAUGUCAUUGAUAACAGGAUCACAUCAUUGGGAAAAUGAUGUGAUGGACAAGACCCAAUCCUAAGCAUAUCACUAGAUCGUAUUGUUCGUAUGCUAAAGCUUUUCUAAUGUCAAGUGUCUUUUCCUUCGACCGUGAGAUUGUGCAACUCCCGAAUACCGCAUGAGUGCUUUGGGUGUAUCAAACGUCACAACGUAACUGGGUGACUAUAAAGGUGCACUACGGGUACCUCUAAAAGUGUCUGUUGGGUUGGUACGAAUCGAGAUUGGGAUUUGUCACUCUGUGUGACGGAGAGGUAUCUCUGGGCCCACUCGGUAGAACAUCAUCAUGAGCUCAAUGUGACUAAGGAGUUAGUCACACGAUUACGUGCUACGGAACGAGUAAAGAGACUUACCGGUAACGAGAUUGAACAAGGUAUAGGUAUACCGACGACCGAAUCUCGGGCAAGUUCUAUACCGACAGACAAAGGGAAUUGUAUACGGGAUUGAUUGAAUCCUUGACAUCGUGGUUCAUCCGAUGAGAUCAUUGUGGAACGUGUGGGAGCCACCAUGGGUAUCCAGAUCCCGCUGAUGGUUAUUGGCCGGAGAAUGUCUGGGUCAUGUCUGCAUGCUUCCCGAACCCGUUGGGUCUACACACUUAAAGUUCGAUGACGCUAGGGUUAUAGGGAAAUGUUAUACGAGGUUACCAAAAUUUGUUCGGAGUCCCGGAUGAGAUCCCGGACGUCACGAGGAGCUCCGGAAUGGUCCGUAGGUAAAGAUUGAUAUAUAGGAUGGAUGGUUUUGGACAUCGGAAAUGUUUCGGGCGUCACCGGUAACGUACCGGGACCACCGGAAACGGUCCCGGGGUCCACCAGGCCCAAGAGGUAGCAUGGGACAAAAGGGGGAGGGCAACCAGCCCAAAGUGGGCUGGUGCACCUCCCACAAGAGGCCCAAGGCGCAGGAGGGAGAGAAGGGGGGGGGAAUCCUGGCGCUGGUGGGCCUAAGGCCCACCUAAGGGGUGCUCCACCCCCUCCCUCUGUCCUAGCCGCCACACCUCCCAUCUGGGGGGGCUGCCGCACCACCUAGGGGGCAACCCUAGGGGUGGCACCCCGCUCCCCUCCUCCUAUAAAUAGAGAGGGGUUUGGGGCUGUUUUGCACACGGUUUCUUCUCCCCUCGGCGCAACCCUGCUCCCCUCCUUCCUCCUCCUCCCACGGUGCUUGGCGAAGCCCUGCCAAGAGACCUCGUCUCUCCAUCGACACCACGCCGUCGUGCUGCCAGAGAUCUUCCCCAACCUCUCCCUCCUCCUUGCUGGAUCAAGGUGCGGGAGACGUCACCGGGCUGCACGUGUUUUGAACGCGGAGGUGCCGUAGUUCGGCACUAGAUCGGAAUCACAUCGCGAUUUGAAUCGCCGUGAGUACGACUCCAUCAACCGCGUUCUAGCAACGCUUCCGCUUAGCAAUCUUCAAAGGUAUGAAGAUGCAAUCACCCCUCUCUCGUUGCUGGUCUCUCCAUAGGAAGAUCUGAAUAUGCGUAGGAAAAUUUUGAAUUUAUGCUACGUUACCCACCAGUCUGAGUACAACAAUCGCUUGAAUCAAGUGGGAGUUAAUCUUCCAGAUGAGAUAGUGAUGGUUCUCCAAAGUCACUGCCACUAAGCUGCUAGAGCUUCGUGAUGAACUAUAACAUAUCAAGGAUAGAUAUGAUGAUUCUUGAGCGAUUCGCAAUGUUUGACACUCUGAAAGUAGAAAUCAAGCAGGAACAUCAAUUGUUGAUGGUUAGUAAAACCACUAGUUUCAAGAAGGGCAAGGGCUAGAAGAGAUACUUCAUGAAACAGCAAACCAAUUGCUGCUCUAAUGAAGAAACCCAAGAUUGAACCCAAGCCCGAGACUAAGUGCUUCUGUUAUGAGGGGAAUGGUCACUGAGGCGGAGCUACCCUAGAUGCUUGGUAGAUAAGAAGGCUGGCAAAGUUGACAGAAGUAUAUUUGAUAUACAUGAUAUUGAUGUGUACUUUACUUGUACUCCUAGUAGCACGAGGGUAUUAGAUACCGGUUCGAUUGCUAAGUGAUUAGUAACUCGAAAUAAAAGCUAUGGAAUAAACGGAGACUAGCUAAAGGUGAGGUGACAAUAAGUGUUGGAAGUGUUUCCAAGGUUGAUGUGAUCAAACAUCGCACGCUCCCUCUACCAUCGGGAUUGGUGUUAAACCUAAAUCAUUGUUAUUUGGUGUUUGCGUUGAGCAUGAACAUGAUUUGAUCCUGUUUAUUGCAAUACGAUUAUUCAUUUAAAGAGAAUAAUGGUUAUUCUAUUUGGUUGAAUAAUUACCUUCAAUGGUUUAUUGAAUCUCGACCGUAGUGUUACACAUGUUCAUAAUAUUGGUGCCAAAAGAUACAAAGUAAUUAUGAUAGUACCACUUACUUGUGGCACUGCCGCUUGAGUCAUGUUGGUGUAAAAUGCAUGAAGAAGCUCCAUGUUGAUGGAUAUUUGUACUCACUCAUUUUUGAAACGUUUGAGACAUGCAAACCAUACCUGUUGGUAUAAACGCAUGAAGAAACUCCAUACAGAUGGAUCAUUUGUACUCACUUGAUUUUGAAUCAUUUGAGUCAUGCAAAAUCAUAUCACAUGGAACAAGAGAGCAACUUGUUGGAAGUAAUACAUUUUUGAUGUGCGCAGUCCAAUAAAGUGCCGAGGCACGCAGUGGAUAUCAUUAUGUUCUUACUUCACUGACGACUUGAGUAGAUACAGGAGUAUUUACUUGAUGAAUCACAAGUAUGAAAUAUUGAAAAGUUCAAAGCUAUUUCAGAGUGAAGAUCGUCGUGACAAGAGGAUAAACUGUCUACGAUAUGAUCAUAGAGAUGAAUAUCUGAGUUGCGAGUUUUGGUACACAGUUGAGACAAUUGUUCCGCAAUUCAUGCCACCUAGAACACCAUAGUGUGAUGGUAUGUCCGAACGUCAUAGCCGCGCCCUAUUUGAUAUGGUGCAUACUAUGUUGUCUCUUAUCGAAUUACCACUAACGUUUAUGGGUUAUGCAUUAGAGACAACCACAUUCACUUUAAAUAGGGCAUUGCGUAUUUCCGUUGAGAUGACAAGGUAUAGACUAUGGUUUGGAGAAACCCAAGCUGUCGUUUCUUAAAAGUUUGGGGCUGCGAUGCUUAUGUGAAAAAGUUUCAGUCUGACAAGUCGAACCCAAAGCGGAUAAAUGCAUCUUCAUAGGAUAUCCAAAAUAGUUGGAUACAUCUCCUAUCUCAGAUCCGGAAGCGAAGUGUUUGUUUCUAGAAAUGGGUCCUUUCUCGAGGAAAGGUUUCUCUCGAAAGAAUUGAGUCGGAGGGUAGUGUAACUUGAUGAGGUUAGUGAACCAUCACUUCAACCAGUGUGUAGCAGGGCGCAUCAAGUUGUUCCUGUGGCGCCUACACUAAUUGAAGUGGAAACUGAUGAUGGUGAUCAUUGAGCUUCGGAUCAAGUGACUACAAACCUCGUAGGUCGACAAGGUCGCGUACUACUACAGAGUGGUACGGUAACCUUGUCUUGGAGGUCAUGUUGUUGAACAGCAAUGAAUCUACGAGCUAUGGAGAAGCGAUGGUGGGCCCGGAUUCCGACAAAUGGUUGGAGGCCAUGAAAUCCGAGAGAGGAUCCAUGUAUGAAAACAAAGUGUAGACUUUGGAAGAACUACUUGAUGGUCGUAGGACUGUUAAGUAAAGAUGGAUCUUUAAAAGGAAGACAGACGAUGAUGGUGAAAAGUCACCAUUAAGAAAAUCUCGACUUAUCGCAAAUAUGUUUCCGACAAGUUCAAAGAGUUGACUAUGAUGAGACUUUCUUGCUCGUAGCGAUGCUAAAAAUCUGUUGGAAUUAUGUUAGCAAUUGAUGCAUUGUUUGUGAAAUAUUGCACAUAGUAUGUCAAAACAUUGUUUCCUCGACGGUUCCUUGAGGAAAGGUUGUAUGUGAUACAACCAGAAGGUUUUGUCAAUCCUAAGGAUGCUAACAAGUAUGCAAGCUCCAGCGAUCCUUCUAUGGACUGGUGCAAGCAUCUCGGAGUUGGAAUAUAUGCUUUGAUGAGAUGAUAAAAGCUUUUGGGUUUGUACAAGGUUUAUGAGAAACCUGUAUUUCUAAAGAAGUGAGUGGGAGCACUAUAGAAUUUAUGAUAAGUAUAUGUGGUUGACAUAUUGAAGAUCGGAAGUAAUGUAGAAUUUCUGUGAAGCAUAAAGGGUUGUUUGAAAGGAGUUUUUUCAAAGGAAAACCUGGAUAGAGCUACUUGAACGUUGAUCAUCAAGAUCUAUAUAGAUAGAUCAAAACGCUUGAUAGAACUUUCAAUGAAAUGCAUGCCUUGACUAGUUUUUGAAGGAGUUCAAAAUAGAUCAACAAAGAAGGAGUUAUUGGCUGUGUUGUAAGGUGUGAAUUUGAGUAAGACUCAAAGCCCGACCACGGCAGGAGAAAGAGAAAGGACGAAGGUCGUCCCCUAUGCCUUAGCCAUAGGCUCUAAAGUAUGCCAAGCUGUGUACCGCACCUGAUGUGUGCCUUGCCAUGAGUCUGUCAAGGGGUACAAAAGGUGAUCUAGGAUUGAAUCACUAAAACAGCAGUCAAAGUUAUCCUUAGUAAAUAGUGGACUAAGGAAUUUUUCUCGAUUAUGGAGGUGAUUAAAGAGUUCAUCGUAAAGGGUUACGUCGAUGCAAGCUUUGAUACUAAUCCGAAUAACUCUGAGUAGUAAAACAGAUUCGUAUAGUAGAGUAGAUAUUUGGAGUAUUUCCGAAUAGCACGUAGUAGCAGCAUCUAUAAGAUGACAUAAAGAUUUGUAAAGCACACAUGGAUCUGAAAGGUUCAGAACUGUUGACUAAAACCUCUCUCACGAGCAAGACGUGAUCAAACCCCAGAACUGUAUGGGUGUUGGAUUCGUUAAAAUCACAUGGUGAUGUGAACUAGAUUAUUGACUCUAGUGCAAGUGGGAGACUGUUGGAAAUAUGCCCUAGAGGCAAUGAUAAAUUAGUUAUUAUUAUAUUUUUGUUCAUGAUAAUCGUUUAUUAUCCAUGCUAUAGUUUUAUUGAUUGGAAACACAAAUACAUGUGUGGAUACAUAGACAAAACACUGUCCCUAGUAAGCCACUAGUUGACUAGCUCGUUGAUCAAAGAUGGUCAAGGUUUCCUAACAAUAGACAAGUGUUUUCACUUGAUAACAUGAUCACAUCAUUAGGAGAAUCAUCUGACGGACUUGACCCAAACUAUGAACGUAGCAUAUUGAUCGUGUCGUUUUAUUCCUAUUGUUUUCUACGUGUCAAGUAUUUAUUCCUAUGACCAUGAGAUCAUAUAACUCACUGGCACCGGAGGAAUACCUUGUGUGUAUCAAACAUCGCAACGUAACUAGGUGACUAUAAAGGUUCUAUACAGGUAUCUCCGAAGGUGUCCGUUGAGUUAGUAUGGAUCAAGACUGGAAUUUGUCACUCCGUGUUACAGAGAGGUAUCCCGAGGCCCACUCGGUAAUACAACAUCACACACAAGCCUUGCAAUCAAUGUGACUAAGUGUAAGUCACAGGAUCUUGUAUUACGGAACGAGUAAAGAGACUUGCCGGUAACGAGAUUGAAAUAGGUAUGCGGAUACUGACGAUCGAAUCUCGAGAAAGUAACAUACGGAAGGACAAAGGGAAUGACAUACGGGUUUAUAUUAAUCCUUGACACUGAUGUUAAACCGAUAAGAUCUUCAGAGAAUAUGUAGCAUCCAAUAUGGGCAUCCAGGUCCCGCUAUUGGAUAUUAACCGAGGAGUGCCUCGGGGCAUGUGUACAUAGUUCUAGAACCCGCAGGGUCUGCACACUUAAGGUUCGGCGAUGUAUUAGUAUAGUUGAGUUAUAUGUGUGGUUACUGAAUGUUGUUCGGAGUCUCGGAUGAGAUCACAGACGUCACGAGGGUUGCCGGAAUGGUCCGGAAACGAAGAUUGAUAUAUAGGAUGGUUUCAUUUGGUCACCGGAAAGUUUCGGGCAAUUCCGGCAGUGUACUGGGAGUGACGAAUGGGUUUCGGGAGUUCACCGGGAGGGGCCCACCCACCCGGGAGUGAGCCCAAGGCACUAGGGUGAUGCCACAAGUCCUUAGUGGGGUUGUGGAGUCAGACCAAGGGGCCCAUGGCGCCACAUAAGAAAAUACCAAAGGAAAAUAAAAGAAAAAGGGAAAGAGGGAGGUGGGAAGGAAGAGGAGGACUCCUCCUUCCUAAACCGAUUUGGAGGAGUGCUCCUCCUCCUCCCCUUGGCCGGCGUACCUUGAGGGCUUGUCCCUCAAGGCUAGCCCUCCCCCUCCCUCCUAUAUAUAGUGGUGUUUUAGGGCUGAUUUGAGACAACUUUUGCCACGUGCAACUCAACCCUAAACCACAUAGUUCUACCUCUAGAUUGGAUUUCUGCGGAGCUUGGGCGGAGCCCUGCAGGAGUAGAUCAUCACCACCAGUGGAGCGCCGUCACGCUGCCGGAGAACUCAUCUACUUCUCCGUCUUGCUUGCUGGAUCAAGAAGGCCGAGAUCAUCAUCGAGUUGUACGUGUGCUGAACGCGGAGGUGCCGUCCGUUCGACACUAGAUCGGAACAUAUCGUGGGACGGAUCACAGGACGGUUCGUGGGAUGAUUCGAGGGACGUGAAGACACUCCACUACAUCAACCUCGUUUCUUAACGCUUCCUGCUGUGCGAUCUACAAGGGUGUAGAUCCAAAUCUCCUCUCGUAGAUGGACAUCACCAUGAUAGGUCUUCGUUUGUGUAGGAAUUUUUUUGUUUCCCAUGCAACGUUCCCAUCACCCCCGCCCCGGAUCGCCCUUCACUGCACUGCCAUGCCGCCAGUUCGACCUCGACGUCGCCCUCUGCCGGCCGGGCCCCUCCACCGUGCGUCUCCACCUCGCUGGCGCUCCCCUCGCCGGCCAUCACCGUCGGCCGCUCCUCCUCAUCUCGUCCCCGUCCUCCUCAACGACUCCAUCGAGCCUCGCCGACCCCGCCCCCCUACAACGUGGGUGAGAACGCCCCCUCACCCUCCGGUUCCGUUCCGGCAUGCACCGCCUCGUCCCGUCGUCGUUUUCGUCUACUCUAAAUUGAGAAGAGGAGGUGUCGUUUUGUUACUAUCUUUGUUGAGAGAGAAAGAGAUGUGCAGUGUUGAGAGAGAGAGAUGUGUAGAGAGAUAACAGUGAGAAAUAAAAGAAAAUAUGUUAGGAAAAUAACAAAAUAAAAGGAUAUAUAUGUAUGUAUGCAAAUAUAUGUAUGGAUGUAUGUAUGAAAUAUGUGUGUAUGAAUAUGGAAUAUGUGUAUAUUUGGUAUGUAUGAAUUAGUGGUAUGGAUGUGUGUGCGUGUAGCGUAUUUGUGGGCUCACUGUCCCAAUGACAGUUGGGCCCCACCACUCCCACAAAAUGACAGGUGGGGUCCCUCCUAAAAAUAAAUAAAUAAAUAAAUAAAUAUGUUUUUAUUAAUAAAAUAAAUAAAUAAAUAAUUAUAUAUAAUUAACUAAUUAAUUAGAUAAAUUAGUAAUAUGUUAAUAUAGAUAAAUAAUUGUCCUAUUAGAAUAUGACACGUCGGUCCCCCACUAAAUUAAUCUGAUUAAUUAAUAAUUAACUUUAAUUAAAAAUUGUGUGUAUGACACAUGGGACCCAGUGGUUAGUUUGACCAGUCAACUGUUGAUGUCAGCAUGACAUCAUGAUGAUGUCAUAAUAGUAUUUAAUAAUUAACUAAAUCUGUUUUUAAUUCCUAAAUAUUCAUAAAACUUUUAAAAUUAAUAUAAAAUAAACCAUAAGUCACAUCAAAAUAUUUUCAACAUGAAAGUUGAUGAGCACAGCGAGACGAACCCGGAUAUGUGGUCCAUUUGUCCUACACGCGUCCCUAGCAUAACAAACGUGGAGCUUUUCCAUCGUUUUCAGUCUGACCGGUAGUAGCCACAGACCUGGGGAUAUUUUCCCGACCCGUUUAUGAAGCAUGUUACUACGUUAGCUCAUGCCUAGCCUGCAUAUUGCCAUGUCAUGCUUAGUGUUGCACCUGUUGCUGUUAUUUAUUGUUUCUCCCCUCUCUUCUUAUUGGUAGACCCUGAGACUAAUGCUGCUGCCGGGUACAUCGACGACCCUGCCGACCAGCCCUUUGCCGUAGAGCAACAAGGCGAGCAAACCCCCUUGAUCAUCCCUAUAUCGCCUAUUCUUUCUUCCUCAUGCUUGCAUUAGAAUUUUACUACUGUUAUAGUUAGCUCCUAUAUCUGAUGCAUAGCCUAAUUUUGAUGAACUGCUACUUUCAGUACCGCACUUUAGACUGUUUAAUAUAGGUGGAGCAGUCAUCCCCUCUGACCCCGUAGUCCAGUUGCCCCGCUUUGUUUUCAAGUCUUGAUCCCUGAUCGACGAGCCAUACCCGGCACAACACUUACACCCCCCUAAGUUGUGUGACACUACAGAGAUACUAUCGGGUAUCGAGGGUGACACCUCGCGAAGUACUCCUGAUGAUAUCUUUGUAGUACAGCUAGUCGGUCGUGGUUAUCGAGGGUGAUUCCUCUUUCACCAUUCCGGACGAUGCCUCUGUCGUGCAACCCCUCAAGUGUGGGACCCUCGAGGGUGAUUCCUCUAGGUCCACCUUGACGGAUACAUCGUUCAAAAUCCAAUGAGGGUGAUACGUCGGAUCCCCCCUGAUGUUUCUACCACACAGUUACUUGACCAUAUUACUGGGAUCUUUGAUGAAUAGAUGUUAGGCGGGUGGAUCCCCGCAUGUUUGUGUCGAUGACAUAAUUAAAAUGAUAAUUUAUUUUGGUAUUUGAUCUGGGUUGGUCGGAGACCUUUUUGCACUAACCGGCUACGCGGGAAGAAUUAUGGGUACUCGACGUCGCGGUAUCAACCAAAGCUCUUCAGACGUUAGCGAUGGAGUGGCGCGCGCCCGAGUGGUCCCGAGAUGCAUCGCACUUGUUAUAAGGGGUGCUAGGACUGACAUUGUCCGCCCUACCAUCGUGCAGGAGCGCAGAGGGAAAGUGGGCCCACAACCCCUUUAUGCUUAGGAGUUAGACUGGCGGGCUGGCCUCUCUGUUGAGCUUAGGUGGGGCUGCGACGUAUCGAUAUUCCGAGGCCGGACAUGACCCAGAAAAGUGUGCCCGGCCAGAGUGUUAUCAAGUGUGACGGGAAACUUGGUGCACCCCUGCAGGGCUGAAAAUUAACUAUUCGGAUCGCCGUGUCCACGGUUACAGGAUGACUUGGAGUUGUGCCCUGAUCUUAUACAACUACAACUGUUACUUAACUGGAAUUAAAUGCCUUGGGAUUGCUUCCUCGCAGGGAGUCGAGGGAGGAUCUCUGGGCGUGACCUCAUAUUAAUUUUUGCUGCAACAAUAUGACUAUUAAUUAUGUUACCUGUUCUACUCUCUUCUAUUGCUGCAAGACCCCUGAAGAUGCUAGUCUUCCAUAUGACUAGGACUUCUCUCUCUAUUCUCGCAUUGCUGCAGUCAGUCCACAUAUAAACCCCUUCUUUUAUACUGAUGCAUACUUAGCAUAGUUCUGAUAUAAGCCUUCAAAUCUUCAAUUUCUUCGGAUUUUGAAAUUCAUCAAAUUUUCAAAUUCCUCAAGAAGUUCAAAUUCUUCAAACUUUUCAACAUCUGUUCUUCAUGUUCUUAGCAAAUUGUCCUCCAAAAUGACAUAAUUAACUUAUUUAGUUCAUUUAUGACAUAAUUAGCUUAGUUAGGUUAGAAAUGGCAUCAUAACCUUGGUUAGCUCAUAAAUGUUAUAUGCUUAGCUUGUUUUCAUCUAAAAUGACAUAAUUAUCUUAGUUGGGUUAAAAAUGGCAUAAUAACCUUGGUUAGCUCAUAAAUGCAAUAUACUUAGUUUAUCUUCCUCUAAAAUGACAUAAUUACCUUAGUUAGGUCAGAAAUGACAUAAUAACCUUGGUUAGCUCAUAAAUGUCAUAUUCUUAGCUUAGUUUCCUCUAAAAUGACAUAAUAAGCUUAGGUAUGUCAAAAAUGGGAUAAUAACCUUGGUUACCUCAUAAAUGUCAUAUAUUUAGCUUAUUUUCCUCAAAAAUGAUAUAAUAAGAUCAAAAAUGGCAUAAAAAUAAAAAGAACGAAUAGAAGAGGAAAGAGGCGAAAAUGGAAGAAAAAAGAAGAAUGAGCUUAUUCUUUCUUUCUUCUUUUUAUUUUCCUUCUCUUUCUUCUUCUUCUUCUAGUCUUUUCAAUCUCCUUCUCCUUCUCCUUCUUCUUCUAGUCUUCUUCUUCUUCUUAUUCUUCUUGUUUUCUCAACUAAUUAUCCUCCAAAAUGACGUAAUUAGCUUAUUUAGUUAAUUGAUGACAUAAUUAGCUUAGUUAGGUCAGAUUUGGCAUAAUAACCUUGUUUAUCUUAUAAAUGUUAUAUACUUAGUUCGUUUUCCGUAAAAAUGGCAUAAAAAGAAAAAAAAGAAUAGAAGAGGAAAGGGAACAAAAAGAAAGAAUAAAAGAAGAAGAAUGAGCUUCUUCUUUCUUUCUUAUUAUUAUUUUCCUUCUCUUUCCUCUUCAUUUUCUUCAUCAUCAUCAUCAUCAUCUUCUUCUUCUUCUAGUCUUCUUCUUCUUCUUCUUCUUCCGUACCUUCUUCUUCUUCUUCUUCUUCUUCUUCUUCCUCUUCUUCUCAUUCUUCUAGUCUUCUUCUUCUUCUUCUUCUUCUUCUCCUACUUCAUCUUCAUAUUCUGCAUCACCAUCAUCAUCAU